RNAcentral lists this long non-coding RNA (236 nucleotides) under Elaeis guineensis (African oil palm). RNAcentral describes it as "long non-coding RNA (EGUI_LNC029979)". Lineage: Eukaryota; Viridiplantae; Streptophyta; Magnoliopsida; Arecales; Arecaceae. The record is from RNAcentral.
AGGGUAUCAAGAUAGAGAUUGUAAGACCUAGUGUGGUGCUCCCAAGGCUUAGGGGAUCAAGAGAAAGAUCAAGAUUUAUGACCCAUGAGACAUUCAUGGGGGUUCUAGGGCUAGUUUGGGCCCUAGGAUGAACGGCUGUCAGCCUUCAUAGUUUUUUGAGAUCCAUGAGAUUUGGACGUUGAGGGGCUAAUUUGUAUUGGACUCAGUUUGAAUUCAAAGAAGAUGAGAUUAAGUCA